This is a long non-coding RNA of Trichomycterus rosablanca, 573 nucleotides long. RefSeq lists it as uncharacterized. The record is from RefSeq and is a predicted model, not a curated record. The transcript is spliced from 4 exons. NCBI's taxonomy places the organism in Eukaryota, Metazoa, Chordata, Actinopteri, Siluriformes, Trichomycteridae.
AGUCUCCAGUAACACCAGAAAAAGUCGCUAGAUUUGUCGCUAGUCGCUUUUUUGAAAAAAAAAAAAAAAAAAAGUGGCUAGAGGGGUCUGAAAACUCGCUAAAUAUAGGUUGAAACACUUUGUAUAACAGAUAUUUUGGGCUUUGUUAAUACAAUGGCGACCGCUACUUUGAGUGCAGAGUUCACAAGGAGACAAAUUGUUUGAACAUUCAGGUUACACUCGCGACUUUGAACUCAGAACGAGGAAAAUUUGGAGGAGCAGCUGAAGGCUGCAUCGAGUUAAAGCGAAAGUAAAAUCUUCGGUUUAUGUGGAGAGAGAAUCACGUGUUACUCCAGUGUGAUGGAGGGUACGAGACCAGAUUCACCUGAACCCAGCUGUGUCUCCAUGAACAGUGACCAGUCAAUGGAUCCUUCAUUUAACUAUAUAAAAGAUGGAGGAUGUUCUACUGAUCUGAGUUGCCUGCUCAGCCUGCGGCGCAAUCGAGGUUCUCCCGAUUGCUUUUUGUUCUGGUUUUUGUCUUUUGCUUUGUUUUUUGUUUCAAAAUAAUAAAUAAAGUUUAUUUUUAAGAAUCUG